GAAAGUGAGGGUUAUUUGUCUGUGACAUCUGUCACUCCAUCACCUGCCAGGCAGAUUUAGCUGAUGUGGCUAAGUGGUGUCUCCUUUCUCCCUCACUGCUCCAGGUACUUCAGUUCCAAAGCUGCAUGAUCAGUUGAUAAGGAUGAAUUUUCCCCACAGAGGAGGACAGUCUUUUUUUUUUA
Molecule: small nuclear RNA, 182 nt
Filed under: Mus musculus (house mouse)
Lineage: Eukaryota; Metazoa; Chordata; Mammalia; Rodentia; Muridae
Description: 7SK RNA
Rfam family: 7SK RNA
About the family: 7SK was discovered as an abundant small nuclear RNA in the mid-70s but a possible function has only recently been suggested. Two independent studies have found that 7SK RNA binds the CDK9/cyclin T complex (known as elongation factor P-TEFb). P-TEFb activates transcription by phosphorylating the C-terminal domain of RNA polymerase II.
Source: Rfam by way of RNAcentral